This 702-nucleotide ribosomal RNA is filed under the name Loigolactobacillus coryniformis. Its description in RNAcentral is "bacterial SSU rRNA". It matches the Rfam family "Bacterial small subunit ribosomal RNA", at positions 56 to 722 of the family's 1533-position model. Lineage: Bacteria; Bacillati; Bacillota; Bacilli; Lactobacillales; Lactobacillaceae. The record is from RNAcentral.
UGCAAGUCGAACGCACUGACGUCGACCGAAGCUGCUUGCAGUGGACGUUGAUUGACGUGAGUGGCGGACGGGUGAGUAACACGUGGGUAACCUACCCUUAAGUGGGGGAUAACAUUUGGAAACAGAUGCUAAUACCGCAUAACCAUUCAGACCACAUGGUCUGAAUGUAAAAGACGGCCUUUGGCUGUCACUUUUGGACGGACCCGCGGCGUAUUAGUUAGUUGGUAAGGUAACGGCUUACCAAGACAAUGAUACGUAGCCGACCUGAGAGGGUAAUCGGCCACAUUGGGACUGAGACACGGCCCAAACUCCUACGGGAGGCAGCAGUAGGGAAUCUUCCACAAUGGACGAAAGUCUGAUGGAGCAACGCCGCGUGAGUGAAGAAGGUUUUAGGAUCGUAAAACUCUGUUGUUGGAGAAGAACAGGGACUAGAGUAACUGUUAGUCCUUUGACGGUAUCCAACCAGAAAGCCACGGCUAACUACGUGCCAGCAGCCGCGGUAAUACGUAGGUGGCAAGCGUUGUCCGGAUUUAUUGGGCGUAAAGCGAGCGCAGGCGGUUUUUUAAGUCUGAUGUGAAAGCCUUCGGCUUAACCGAAGAAGUGCAUUAGAAACUGGGAAACUUGAGUGCAGAAGAGGACAGUGGAACUCCAUGUGUAGCGGUGAAAUGCGUAGAUAUAUGGAAGAACACCAGUGGCGAAGGC